UUGAACGCUGGCGGUAUGCUUAACACAUGCAAGUCGAACGGAAACGAUACUAGCUUGCUAGUAGGCGUCGAGUGGCGGACGGGUGAGUAACGCGUAGGAAUCUGCCUGAUAGUGGGGGAUAGCCCGAAGAAAUUCGGAUUAAUACCGCAUAAUCUAUUCGUAGUAAAGUGGGGGACUUUCGAGCCUCACGCUAUCAGAUGAGCCUGCGUAAGAUUAGCUUGUUGGUAGGGUAAAAGCCUACCAAGGCGACGAUCUUUAGCUGGUCUGAGAGGAUGAUCAGCCACAUCGGGACUGAGACACGGCCCGAACUCCUACGGGAGGCAGCAGUGGGGAAUAUUGGACAAUGGGGGCAACCCUGAUCCAGCAAUACCGCGUGUGUGAAGAAGGCCUGAGGGUUGUAAAGCACUUUCAAUUGUGAAGAAAAGUUAGCGGUUAAUAACCGUUAGCCUUGACGUUAACUUUAGAAGAAGCACCGGCUAACUCCGUGCCAGCAGCCGCGGUAAUACGGAGGGUGCAAGCGUUAAUCGGAAUUACUGGGCGUAAAGCGUGCGUAGGCGGUUUAUUAAGUCAGAUGUGAAAGCCCCGGGCUUAACCUGGGAACUGCAUUUGAAACUGGUCAACUAGAGUAUGGUAGAGGAAAGUGGAAUUUCUGGUGUAGCGGUGAAAUGCGUAGAUAUCAGAAGGAACAUCAAUGGCGAAGGCAGCUUUUCUGGACCAAUACUGACGCUGAGGUACGAAAGCGUGGGUAGCAAACAGGAUUAGAUACCCUGGUAGUCCACGCCGUAAACGAUGAUAACUAGCCGUUGGGGGGAUUUACCCUUUAGUGGCGAAGCUAACGCGUUAAGUUAUCCGCCUGGGGAGUACGGCCGCAAGGUUAAAACUCAAAGGAAUUGACGGGGACCCGCACAAGCGGUGGAGCAUGUGGUUUAAUUCGAUGCAACGCGAAGAACCUUACCUGGUCUUGACAUCCUGCGAACUUUCUAGAAAUAGAUUGGUGCCUUCGGGAACGCAGUGACAGGUGCUGCAUGGCUGUCGUCAGCUCGUGUCGUGAGAUGUUGGGUUAAGUCCCGUAACGAGCGCAACCCCUAUCCUUAUUUGCCAGCACAUCAUGGUGGGAACUAUAAGGAGACUGCCGGUGAUAAACCGGAGGAAGGCGGGGACGACGUCAAGUCAUCAUGGCCCUUACGACCAGGGCUACACACGUGCUACAAUGGGAAGGACAAAGAGCCGCGAAGCCGCGAGGUGUAGCUAAUCUCAUAAACCUUUUCGUAGUCCGGAUUGGAGUCUGCAACUCGACUCCAUGAAGUCGGAAUCGCUAGUAAUCGUAGAUCAGAAUGCUACGGUGAAUACGUUCCCGGGUCUUGUACACACCGCC
This 1375-nucleotide ribosomal RNA is filed under the name uncultured bacterium. Its description in RNAcentral is "bacterial SSU rRNA". It matches the Rfam family "Bacterial small subunit ribosomal RNA", at positions 29 to 1394 of the family's 1533-position model. The record is from RNAcentral.